AUAGGUAAUUAUGUCUUCAUACUAUGGGACACUUCCCUCAGAUGCAUCCUCUAAACUGGAAAGAGUUAAUUUCCCAAAGCUUAAACUGGUUGGCUUAGGAUUGGGCUCAGGGGAAGAGAACCCAGAAACUCAACAUGCUGACAAAAGGGUGAAGUUUUUUACCAGUCGGAUUUUUGGCCUCCCUCUCUCUGUGAAAAACAGUAAAAGGUCUCAGUAUUUUUAAAUUUUCCUCACCCCUCCCAGUGUUUCAUUUUGAUACGUUUUCUAAUAACCCAGUGUGUCUUUUCUUGCCUUCAAGCCAUCAAACUCCAAACGGUCAUGCAACUGGAGCCUCCGGCGAUGGUCCCUUUUGCCAGGGACCCUGAGAUAGGCCUCCGAGGGAGCUCUGACUGCCAUUUCCCCAAAACAGCCCCCACUAUCAGCAGGAAACAGCUGCCUGAGCAAUUGUGUCUGGUUCGUGAAGUGACUUCCCAUUUUCAUCCAAUUGGCCCUGAUCUCACAUCCCAAGCCCAUGGAUCAUACCACAUUGUUCUUUCUGCAAAACAGUUGAGAAUUACCAGUAAUUGGGACUGUUUACAUUCAAUGCCAUCAUGACAGAAGCAGCUUUAUUAUAUUGCAGAGGAAUGAUUAAUACAUGAUGGGGAUUAAAGAUUGCACUGCAGCAGGCCAAGGCAAGAGGCAAUAAAGAUUAAUAAUUUUAGAUUUCCACUGUAGCAAGAACGGGAAAAAAGCGUCAUCUGAAAUGCCAACUUCAAGCAAUUGCAGUGAUUUCCUGGAACCCUACGUGACAAGUCCAGAUUCAGUGGGAAAGACUGUGAGGAUCCGUUAGCAAUGUUUACGAUGGGCAAGUCUUGUGAUGGGGUUACCCUCCUUGCAUUAGAAUUUGCAGUCUUCUAUUAGGCCAUUAGUCUUUGAGAGCAAAAACUGUAUGUAUCUCAUUUUUGUAGCCCCAGUGCCAGGCACACAGUAGCUGCUCCAAAAGCAAAGGACAUCGAGUCUGAAUCAAGCUGCUUGGGUUUAAUGGCUGUCUUUGUCGCUUACUAGCUGAGUGGACUCGUCAUAUUUAUAACUUAAUUGUGGUUCAGUUUCCUUCUCUACAGAAAAGGCAUGAGUUCCUCAUUCAUAGAGUUAUAAUAAGGGUUAAAUAAAGUCAUGCAUAUCCAAAGCUUAGCAUAGUACCUGAGACAUAGCAAAUACUUGAGGAAUGCAGGUAUAAAUUAACAUAGGAGUGAAUAACAUUGCAAGGAAACAGAGAAAAGGAUCCUAAACAGUCCUGCUGGUAUAUUCAUUUAUGAUUCAAAAAUCCUCAAUUGUUAAAAUUUGGGUCAGAACCUUAUUAUUCCAGGUUGUUGGUAAAUGUGAGGACCCUUCUGGGUUUGGAAGUAGAACAAUAAAUUGAGAGGCCAAAGAAGCUGCAAAUAAAAAUUGGCUUCUCUGGGAAAAUGAUUUUCACAUUUAUACCUACCUGCCUUUUGUCCUCCCAUGCAUUUCUCCAGAUGUGAUACCAAUGUGAUACAAUUGUUGUUUAUUCCUUCUCUGACAAUAGCAAGGUAGAGUGAGCCUUCCAGUGAGGGCUUAAAAUAUAGCUCCAGAGACAUUCACCACUACUUCCUGCCUCCAUGGUUACACAUUCCCUUUCACAAAUAAAACAUGGCCUCAUGCUUCAUGCUGAGCUUGCAUUUUACAUACAUCAUUUGGAUCUUCUCUGCAAACCUAUGAAGUGGGCAUGGUAAUCUUCCUUUACAAAUAGAGAAACUGAGGCCUAAGAUGGGGAGCAAUUUCCCUUUAAAAACCUUUUAUUGUCAAGGUCCAAAUGGCUGAUGAUUCAUGCCAUAGACAUCCCAAACCAGCUGGUAGGCAGAGCUCUUGGCAUUCCAAAUGGAAACGUGGAACAGACACAGAUCACCUGGCCACACAGACCUCAGCUCUAAAGACAGAUGACUACUUACCUGUUAAAGUUCCCUGUGCACUAUUUUUUAAAAUCUAGAGAUAGAUAAUAAAUAGGUUAAGUUACAUUUUAAAUUAGCCCAAGAGCAUUUGAGAACAGAAUCAUUUUUAGAAUCUUAAUUCUGAGAUUCACUGUUGGGCUUAAGUCACUGCUUCUGUGAUGGUUAGUUUUGGGUGUGAACUUGACUGUAUUAAGGGAUACUUACCUGGGAAAGCAUUAUUUACUCUCCAUGCUUCAGUAGAUACUGAGCCCUUCCCUUUUCUGCUGAAAGGGAAACCCAGGUGGCUUGGCGUUUGAUUAGAAUAAUUGGGCUGCCCCAGGUGUGUCCGUGAGGGUGCCUCUGAGGGAAACUGGGACUAAAUGAAGAAGAUCUGCCCUCCAUAUGGGCAGGCACUAUUCCAAUUGGCUGGGGGCCCCAGAUAGAACAAAAAGGCAGAUAAAGGGCAGUCUCCCUGGAGAAGAGACCUGCCUGUAGACAGACAUCAGAACUCCAGGUUCUCCAGCCUUUGGGCUCCAGGACUCACACCAAUGCGCCACCGGGCUCUCUGACCUUCAGCUUUGGACUGAGAAUUACACCAUAGAAUGCCCUGGUUCUGAGGCCUUCAAACUCAGACUGAGCCACGCUACAGGCUUUCCGGAUUGUCCAGCAUACAGAAGGUCUGUUGUGGGAUUUCUCAGCCUCCAUGAGUAAGUAAGAAAAUUGCCUCUAAUAAAUCCUUUUUCAUAUGUCUCUCU
Molecule: long non-coding RNA, 2683 nt
Organism: Homo sapiens (human)
Lineage: Eukaryota; Metazoa; Chordata; Mammalia; Primates; Hominidae
Gene: LMCD1-AS1
Product: LMCD1 antisense RNA 1
Source: Ensembl